UUCUUACCCGCUUCAAGCAGUUCAGAGGAGAAACAGCCUUCGUACUCCCAGCGGAUCAUAGUCCUAACGGCCGCUCACCACACUCUUAGUGGCCUCUCCCUCAUUCCUCCCGCCGGCAUACCGGAACCGGGGCUCUAGGGAGAGCCUCAACCCCGCCUCCGUGUGUCUCAGCCAACCCUUGUGGCUGUCAACCCUUGUGGCUUUGAAGAUGGAAUAGAAGAAAGGAGCCAGGAGCCUAGGAAUGCAGAGAUUUCUAAAAGAUGGAAAAGGCAAGAACAUGGAUUUUUCCCUAAGGCCCCCAGAAGGAACACCAUCCUUGAUUUUAGCUCAGUGAGACCCAUGUCACCAAGUUUGUGGUAAUUUGUUACAGCAGCAAUAGAAAACUAAUACAGUACCAUUUCCAGUGCUUUUUGUGACAGUACACAGCAAUAAAAAGUUUAUCUAA
Hipposideros armiger (great roundleaf bat) is the source of this 445-nucleotide long non-coding RNA. RefSeq lists it as uncharacterized. Lineage: Eukaryota; Metazoa; Chordata; Mammalia; Chiroptera; Hipposideridae. The transcript has 2 exons. The record is from RefSeq and is a predicted model, not a curated record.